CACACGGCACAAGAGAGUAAGACUUAGAGAUAUUUACUGGGUAGCAUUUGAGUAGUACAAGAUAGUACAGAACAG
Molecule: long non-coding RNA, 75 nt
Organism: Otolemur garnettii (small-eared galago)
Lineage: Eukaryota; Metazoa; Chordata; Mammalia; Primates; Galagidae
Exons: 3
Source: RefSeq, a predicted model, not a curated record